Molecule: ribosomal RNA, 425 nt
Filed under: uncultured bacterium
Lineage: Bacteria
Description: partial 16S ribosomal RNA
Rfam family: Bacterial small subunit ribosomal RNA
Source: RNAcentral
GUGAGGAAUAUUGGUCAAUGGGCGAAAGCCUGAUCCAGCAAUGCCGCGUGAGUGAUGAAGGCCUUAGGGUUGUAAAGCUCUUUUACCAGGGAUGAUAAUGACAGUACCUGGAGAAUAAGCUCCGGCUAACUCCGUGCCAGCAGCCGCGGUAAUACGGAGGGAGCUAGCGUUGUUCGGAAUUACUGGGCGUAAAGCGCACGUAGGCGGCUACUCAAGUCAGAGGUGAAAGCCCGGGGCUCAACCCCGGAACUGCCUUUGAAACUAGGUAGCUAGAAUCUUGGAGAGGUCAGUGGAAUUCCGCGUGUAGAGGUGAAAUUCGUAGAUAUUCGGAAGAACACCAGUGGCGAAGGCGACUGACUGGACAAGUAUUGACGCUGAGGUGCGAAAGCGUGGGGAGCAAACAGGAUUAGAUACCCCGGUAGUCC